CCUACGGGGGGCAGCAGUGAGGAAUAUUGGUCAAUGGGCGCGAGCCUGAUCCAGCCACGUAGCGUGAAGGAUGAAUGCCCUACGGGUUGUAAACUUCUUUUAUAAAGGAAUAAAGUGAGGCACGUGUGCCUUUUUGUAUGUACUUUAUGCAUAAGGAUCGGCUAACUCCGUGCCAGCAGCCGCGGUAAUACGGAGGAUCCGAGCGUUAUCCGGAUUUAUUGGGUUUAAAGGGAGCGUAGAUGGGUUGUUAAGUCAGUUGUGAAAGUUUGCGGCUCAACCGUAAAAUUGCAAUUGAGACUGGGAGCCUUGAGUACAGUAGAGGUAGGCGGAAUUCGUGGUGUAGCGGUGAAAUGCUUAGAUAUCACGAAGAACUCCGAUUGCGAAGGCAGCCUACUAAACUGCCACUGACAUUGAUGCUCGAAAGUGUGGGGAUCAAACAGGAUUAGAUACCCCAGUAGUC
This 460-nucleotide ribosomal RNA is filed under the name uncultured bacterium. RNAcentral describes it as "partial 16S ribosomal RNA". It matches the Rfam family "Bacterial small subunit ribosomal RNA", at positions 338 to 795 of the family's 1533-position model. The record is from RNAcentral.